GCAGCUGGGGCUGCUGGGGGCUGUGGAUUUCCUCUCACAGCUUCGGAGCGCGGGUCAGGAGCUUCUGGCUGUACCUUAAGCUGCUCCUUCUGACACCACAUUAGUGGUGCGUAGUCCUGAGGCACAAAUCUAUUGAGUGGCCGAGGGAGCUGGUGGGGCUCAGCUUGUAGAAAAGGGAGCUCAGGGAGACCUUCUCGCUCCCUGCGACCACCUGACAAGGGGUCGUGGCCAGAAUUCCCCCUUUUGUCGAGUGGCACCCUGCUGCUUCCUAGAGGAUGGCACCCAGGACGGUGAAGAGGAGGGGACAUCGAGUCGGCGUGCAAAUGACAUCGGAACCAGCGUGUAACAGGAGAAGCCCCUCACCAAACCUCGCAAAAAACCCCUAAAAACAAUGAGCCAACACAAAAUUGACGAAUCAAAGUGAUGUCUAGACGUGAGGAACAGAAUCCAGUGUCCGCUAAGAUCCUUUUCACCCCUAACCUAAAAGAUGUCGGCUAGACGGAGGACUUCGAAAACUGGAAGAUCGGGAAUCUCCUGAAGCUCUCUUGAGGAUGGAAGGCCCUACUUUGCCUGCAUACCAAUAGACAAAGCUGCACUUUUUCUCCUCCUCUGUCACUCCUGGAAGCGGUGGUGGCAUGAGUGUGACCCGUCGGUUCUCCACUACCGAGCUGGAGCUGAUCACUUUUAAUAAAGGCAAAAAAAAGGAAAAA
Melospiza georgiana is the source of this 710-nucleotide long non-coding RNA. RefSeq lists it as uncharacterized. Lineage: Eukaryota; Metazoa; Chordata; Aves; Passeriformes; Passerellidae. The record is from RefSeq and is a predicted model, not a curated record. The transcript is spliced from 2 exons.